ACUUAGGAAUCUACCUAGUAGUGGGGGAUAGCUCGGGGAAACUCGAAUUAAUACCGCAUACGACCUACGGGAGAAAGGGGGCAGUUUACUGCUCUCGCUAUUAGAUGAGCCUAAGUCGGAUUAGCUAGAUGGUGGGGUAAAGGCCUACCAUGGCGACGAUCUGUAGCUGGUCUGAGAGGAUGAUCAGCCACACCGGGACUGAGACACGGCCCGGACUCCUACGGGAGGCAGCAGUGGGGAAUAUUGGACAAUGGGGGAAACCCUGAUCCAGCCAUGCCGCGUGUGUGAAGAAGGCCUUUUGGUUGUAAAGCACUUUAAGCAGUGAAGAAGACUCCGUGGUUAAUACCCACGGACGAUGACAUUAGCUGCAGAAUAAGCACCGGCUAACUCUGUGCCAGCAGCCGCGGUAAUACAGAGGGUGCAAGCGUUAAUCGGAAUUACUGGGCGUAAAGGGAGCGUAGGUGGCUCGAUAAGUCAGAUGUGAAAUCCCCGGGCUCAACCUGGGAACUGCAUCUGAUACUGUUGAGCUAGAGUAUGUGAGAGGAAGGUAGAAUUCCAGGUGUAGCGGUGAAAUGCGUAGAGAUCUGGAGGAAUACCGAUGGCGAAGGCAGCCUUCUGGCAUAAUACUGACACUGAGGCUCGAAAGCGUGGGUAGCAAACAGGAUUAGAUACCCUGGUAGUCCACGCCGUAAACGAUGUCUACUAGUCGUUGGGUCCCUUGAGGACUUAGUGACGCAGCUAACGCAAUAAGUAGACCGCCUGGGGAGUACGGCCGCAAGGUUAAAACUCAAAUGAAUUGACGGGGGCCCGCACAAGCGGUGGAGCAUGUGGUUUAAUUCGAUGCAACGCGAAGAACCUUACCUGGUCUUGACAUAUCUAGA
This 881-nucleotide ribosomal RNA is filed under the name Psychrobacter sp. ALG-6. Its description in RNAcentral is "bacterial SSU rRNA". It matches the Rfam family "Bacterial small subunit ribosomal RNA", at positions 115 to 994 of the family's 1533-position model. The record is from RNAcentral. Lineage: Bacteria; Pseudomonadati; Pseudomonadota; Gammaproteobacteria; Moraxellales; Moraxellaceae.